GCUACGUCUAUCAUGGUUCUGAAUUUGCUUUUGGAUAAGUGCUAAAUAAUUAUAAACCAUGCUUCUAUAUCAAUUAAUUCAAUUUUAAUUAUUGAUACUUCAAAAAAGUCUUACCUCCUCUAUUUUUGCUCGUACAGUUUGUUUCCAAAAGCAUGGCAUGGCGCUUCCUCUUCAGUCUGUGUCUGCAGUUAAAAUUUUUCCUUCUCCUUGAUGGAUUUGAGGUAGCCAUCCCCUUUCAGUCAGUCUUCAUUACAAAAGAAUCUUGGGCUACUUUGUUUCUAUUUUAUGUUGGGUUCUGUGCUUCAUUUCUUUGUAUACUUCCAGUGUAGCCUCAACCAUUUCUUUAAAACUGUUUCUCAGUCUGUUUGAUCUUCUAGUAAAGCAUACAGUUGGGAAGGGGUAAAGCUGUGAACUCAAACUUGAAUUCUUAGAAUUAUUGGGAAAAAUAAGUUCCUCAGAUCAUUCCCACUCAGGGUUGUAUUUUAUUUUGGAAAUGUGUGCUUCGGUCUUAUGGUUCAAAAGAUUCAUGAUUUACAAAGUCCUCAUAACACAUUUCACACAAUUUUCAUAGAAAUGUGGCUGCCAGAGGCCUGGUACUUCCUGGGGACCGGCAUAGAUUUGCACCACAGUAGUCAUUAAGUUAAAACUCACGCUCUUACUGAGCCAAGUUGGAGUUGAGACUCUAGCAUGAUAUUCCAGGUGGUACCAUCAGCCCCUGAGGGGGCAUGUGAGCUAAAACUUCUGCUGUCUCUGGAUUAGGCUUUGCUUUGCCUCACCUGAGUGCAUCAUUGUUUCAGUGCUCAUAUAAAUGAAUUAUUAUAUGCUUCAAAUAUA
This 834-nucleotide long non-coding RNA is filed under the name Marmota monax (woodchuck). The record is from RNAcentral. Lineage: Eukaryota; Metazoa; Chordata; Mammalia; Rodentia; Sciuridae.